Molecule: ribosomal RNA, 794 nt
Filed under: Microbacterium radiodurans
Lineage: Bacteria; Bacillati; Actinomycetota; Actinomycetes; Micrococcales; Microbacteriaceae
Description: bacterial SSU rRNA
Rfam family: Bacterial small subunit ribosomal RNA
Source: RNAcentral
UUGCUGGGUGGAUCAGUGGCGAACGGGUGAGUAACACGUGAGCAAUCUGCCCCUGACUCUGGGAUAAGCGCUGGAAACGGCGUCUAAUACCGGAUACGAGCUGCGGCCGCAUGGUCGGCAGUUGGAAAGAUUUUUCGGUCAGGGAUGAGCUCGCGGCCUAUCAGCUUGUUGGUGAGGUAAUGGCUCACCAAGGCGUCGACGGGUAGCCGGCCUGAGAGGGUGACCGGCCACACUGGGACUGAGACACGGCCCAGACUCCUACGGGAGGCAGCAGUGGGGAAUAUUGCACAAUGGGCGGAAGCCUGAUGCAGCAACGCCGCGUGAGGGAUGACGGCCUUCGGGUUGUAAACCUCUUUUAGCAGGGAAGAAGCGAAAGUGACGGUACCUGCAGAAAAAGCGCCGGCUAACUACGUGCCAGCAGCCGCGGUAAUACGUAGGGCGCAAGCGUUAUCCGGAAUUAUUGGGCGUAAAGAGCUCGUAGGCGGUCUGUCGCGUCUGCUGUGAAAUCCCGAGGCUCAACCUCGGGUCUGCAGUGGGUACGGGCAGACUAGAGUGCGGUAGGGGAGAUUGGAAUUCCUGGUGUAGCGGUGGAAUGCGCAGAUAUCAGGAGGAACACCGAUGGCGAAGGCAGAUCUCUGGGCCGUAACUGACGCUGAGGAGCGAAAGGGUGGGGAGCAAACAGGCUUAGAUACCCUGGUAGUCCACCCCCGUAAACGUUGGGAACUAGUUGUGGGGUCCAUUCCACGGAUUCCGUGACGCAGCUAACGCAUUAAGUUCCCCGCCUGGGGAGUACG